CAUCUCAGAACACGACUGGUUGUGGUCGAGGAUAUGGUUUGGGAAACCAUAUCAUACAUACCGACAGGGAAACGGUGUUCGACACACCUCCGGCUAGCUGCUGUGUGAGGCUAACGCUAACGAAAGAAUGCAUUCUUCACAUCAUAAGAGGCAAGAAAGAUGAGAACAACAGAGAGAUGGAGGGCUGAAUUCUCUAUGGGUCGAGUCAGCUGGACGUAUUCACUAAAGCCUUACACCAAACCUGAAGGUGCCUUUCUAUGUGAGACACUGUUUAAUGAGGAAUAUUUGGGGGAAAUCUCUUGAAGAAUGUUUGGAGAAGUGUGGAAGAAGACUACACCUCCAGCCUCAGAAGCAAAUUUUUGGAAAGACAAG
Xiphias gladius (swordfish) is the source of this 372-nucleotide long non-coding RNA. RefSeq lists it as uncharacterized. The transcript has 3 exons. NCBI's taxonomy places the organism in Eukaryota, Metazoa, Chordata, Actinopteri, Istiophoriformes, Xiphiidae. The record is from RefSeq and is a predicted model, not a curated record.